GCUUCCUUAGUUAAAUGGAUAUAACAAGGUCCUCCUAAGACCUAGUUGCUGGUUCGAUUCCAGCAGGAAGCG
Molecule: transfer RNA, 72 nt
Filed under: Enterococcus phoeniculicola
Lineage: Bacteria; Bacillati; Bacillota; Bacilli; Lactobacillales; Enterococcaceae
Also listed under: 1 other name
Description: tRNA-Arg
Rfam family: tRNA
About the family: Transfer RNA (tRNA) molecules are approximately 80 nucleotides in length. Their secondary structure includes four short double-helical elements and three loops (D, anti-codon, and T loops). Further hydrogen bonds mediate the characteristic L-shaped molecular structure. tRNAs have two regions of fundamental functional importance: the anti-codon, which is responsible for specific mRNA codon recognition, and the 3' end, to which the tRNAs corresponding amino acid is attached (by aminoacyl-tRNA synthetases). tRNAs cope with the degeneracy of the genetic code in two manners: having more than one tRNA (with a specific anti-codon) for a particular amino acid; and 'wobble' base-pairing, i.e. permitting non-standard base-pairing at the 3rd anti-codon position.
Source: RNAcentral